Molecule: long non-coding RNA, 343 nt
Filed under: Sus scrofa (pig)
Lineage: Eukaryota; Metazoa; Chordata; Mammalia; Artiodactyla; Suidae
Description: lncRNA (ENSSSCG00070010550.1)
Source: RNAcentral
UUCAUUCACUCCUGCUUCAUUAAAGAGGAUUUUGAAAAGAAAACCGAAACCAAGUCCCCUUUCCAGCCCCACUUUGUUCCAGAAUUGAACAGAAACAGUUUUCUGCUCCAGAUUUUUUUCUGUACACAAACUGGAAUUCAUGCCAGGGAAAAGGUCAACUGGUAAAGUUCCUAGAAUUGGUUGAUCUGAACCCCAUGAUUUUAAACAGUUAAAUCAGAGGACUGUGUCACAGUUAAGGUCAGUGCCAUGCAUUAGAAGACAGUGCCACGAAGCAGAGAUGAGGGGAUCAUCCAUACACUAUUGUUCUUAUUUCCAACAGGCCUGGUUAACUUUGCAGACAAUG